GCAUCCGUAGCUCAGCUGGAUAGAGCGCCAGAUUUCGGCUCUGGAGGCCGGGGGUUCGACUCCCUCCGGGUGCACCA
This 77-nucleotide transfer RNA is filed under the name Rickettsiales bacterium. RNAcentral describes it as "tRNA-Arg". It matches the Rfam family "tRNA". From Rfam's summary of the family: Transfer RNA (tRNA) molecules are approximately 80 nucleotides in length. Their secondary structure includes four short double-helical elements and three loops (D, anti-codon, and T loops). The record is from RNAcentral. Lineage: Bacteria; Pseudomonadati; Pseudomonadota; Alphaproteobacteria; Rickettsiales.